GUUGAGCAUUAGUGGUUCUUUUAGUGUGUGGCCCCCAGAAGACACAUCCACUUUUUCUCAUCACUGAGCUCUGGAAUAAGGAGGCUCUGCCUAUCUACACAGACACAAGACUCAAGUGUGCGGUAAGGACCCUGGACAAGGAGAAGAAAAACUGUUCUCUUUGAUCAUUUGAACUAUACCAGAAGAGCCACCAGCCUAUGAGUCAGUUCAUAUUCCUGGUCACUGAGCACUUGCUCUGCAAGGGGGUUGUGCUGUGUAAUCAGACUCCAGAAUACAAGGGGGCAGGCUCACUAGAUUAGAAGACAAAUGAUGAACAGCCAGCUAUCACAAGGCUUGAUACAGUGAGCUAGAGAGGUGUCCACAUGGCACUGCCAAAUAGGCGUAUGUGGGAAACGUCCAGGGCCAGUCUUUACCUUUGUGGUGCCCGAGACUCUUACCAGGCUCCGAUCUUUACAAGAGGCGUUAAUGUGACAGCGGAGGGCAGCUGGAAUGGAGGCUGGGGAUUGGGAUACUUUUCUAGGCUCCUGCUAUGUUCUGUGCCUACACCACCCACGCUUACCUCUGGGCCCUUCUCCCUUGCAGCAGGGACCCUGGGUGCAAGGGGCACAAAUUUGCACACAGUGGCCUGGCCUGUGAGGCCGAUGAGGGUCUGGGCGAGGAAGAGGAUAGCAGCUCUGAGCGCAGCUCCUGCACCUCGUCCUCCACCCACCCCCGCGAUGGGAAGUUCUGUGACUGCUGCUACUGUGAGUUCUUCGGCCACAAUGCGGUGAGUGAGCCUGCCUGGGCAGAGAGGGCUGGGCAGGCAGGGGCAGAGGAGAGACCCCUGAUCAUGGCAGGGAUCGCCAUGCUGGGCUUCAGAGUCCUUACACCUACAUCUGCUUGCUUCAGCCUGGAGGCACAUUUGUGAGGUCGGGAUAUCUUAACGUGUUAUUGGCUGUGUUCUUCUCGUGGUUUCUCUUAAGAUUGACUUUUUUUCUUUAGGCAAAAGGAGAGGAAGUGGCAGAGAAAAAGCUAUGAUUCUGAUGAGUAUGUAUACGUGUGUAAUCCCAGAGAAGUGAACGCUUGUGCAUGAUGAAAGCAGAGUGGAAGCAAAAGGUUCCCCAAGUGUGACAGCCAGCCGAGGUACAGGCCAUGAGCACAGAUGGCACCAAGGAGGCUCAGAUCAUGCUGUCUCUAGACAGGGGAGCAGUUCAGA
This 1195-nucleotide long non-coding RNA is filed under the name Rattus norvegicus (Norway rat). Its description in RNAcentral is "long non-coding RNA NONRATT012264". Lineage: Eukaryota; Metazoa; Chordata; Mammalia; Rodentia; Muridae. The record is from RNAcentral.